RNAcentral lists this ribosomal RNA (405 nucleotides) under uncultured bacterium. RNAcentral's name for it is "partial 16S ribosomal RNA". It matches the Rfam family "Bacterial small subunit ribosomal RNA", at positions 30 to 526 of the family's 1533-position model. The record is from RNAcentral.
AUUGAACGCUAGCGGCAUGCUUUACACAUGCAAGUCGAACGAGUGGCGGACGGGUGAGUAAUACAUCGGAACGUGCCCAGUAGCGGGGGAUAACUACUCGAAAGCGUGGCUAAUACCGCAUACUAUCGGCGCGGCCGAUAUCGGAUUAGCGAGUGGGCGGGGUAAAGGCUCACCAAGGCAACGAUCCUUAGCUGGUUUGAGAGGACGACCGGCCACACUGGGACUGAGACACGGCCCGGACUCCUACGGAAGGCAGCAUUGGGGAAUUUUGGACAAUGGGGGAAACCCUGAUCCAGCCAUCCCGCGUGUAUGAGAAGGCCUUCGGGUUGUAAAGUACUUUUAGCAGGGAAGCGGUAUCUGCAGAAUAAGCACCGGCUAACUACGUGCCAGCAGCCGCGGUAAUAC